This 460-nucleotide ribosomal RNA is filed under the name uncultured bacterium. RNAcentral describes it as "partial 16S ribosomal RNA". It matches the Rfam family "Bacterial small subunit ribosomal RNA", at positions 338 to 795 of the family's 1533-position model. The record is from RNAcentral.
CCUACGGGUGGCAGCAGUGAGGAAUAUUGGUCAAUGGCCGUAAGGCUGAACCAGCCAAGUAGCGUGAGGGAUGACUGCCCUACGGGUUGUAAACCUCUUUUAUGCGGGGAUAAAGGUGUGCACGUGUGGCUGUUUGCAGGUACCCCAUGAAUAAGGAUCGGCUAAUUCCGUGCCAGCAGCCGCGGUAAUACGGAGGGUCCGAGCGUUAUCCGGAUUUAUUGGGUUUAAAGGGAGCGUAGGCGGGUCUUUAAGCGUGCCGUGAAAUUUUGGGGCUCAACCCUGAGAGUGCGGCGCCAACUGGAGGCCUUGAGUGCGCGGAAGGCAGGCGGAAUUCGUGGUGUAGCGGUGAAAUGCUUAGAUAUCACGAAGAACCCCGAUUGCGAAGGCAGCCUGCCGCAGCGUUACUGACGCUGAUGCUCGAAAGCGCGGGUAUCGAACAGGAUUAGAUACCCCUGUAGUC